This 69-nucleotide transfer RNA is filed under the name Peltocephalus dumerilianus (big-headed amazon river turtle). Its description in RNAcentral is "tRNA-Ala". It matches the Rfam family "tRNA". From Rfam's summary of the family: Transfer RNA (tRNA) molecules are approximately 80 nucleotides in length. Their secondary structure includes four short double-helical elements and three loops (D, anti-codon, and T loops). Lineage: Eukaryota; Metazoa; Chordata; Testudines; Podocnemididae. The record is from RNAcentral.
AAGGCCUUAGCUUAAUUAAAGUGGUUGAGUUGCAAUCAGCUGAUAUAGGGUAGGAUCCUGUAGGUCUUA